RNAcentral lists this non-coding RNA (286 nucleotides) under Melampsora larici-populina 98AG31. RNAcentral's name for it is "Bacterial large subunit ribosomal RNA". It matches the Rfam family "Bacterial large subunit ribosomal RNA", at positions 2649 to 2925 of the family's 2925-position model. Lineage: Eukaryota; Fungi; Basidiomycota; Pucciniomycetes; Pucciniales; Melampsoraceae. The record is from Rfam by way of RNAcentral.
GAAAGAAAGAUAAUAACUUCAUAAGAUCUCCUAGUACGAAAGGAUCGGUAGAUGGUGAUCCUCUGUGUAGACUUUAGUUUAACAAGUAAGAAAGUAGGGCAUAGAAGAGUAGCUACGAUCAAGGAGUUAAGUAUUGAAAGCAUAUCAAAUACGAAAACCAAUGAAGCAUUAUCGAAUUCUCUCGCAUAGAGAGUGGUAUAGAGGAUGACUACCUCUUAGAUAGGCAGUAAGUGAUAUGUUUGUUAAAACCAGCUAAACUGUACUAAUGAAUACUAACUUUUAUCAU